GCAGCGGGCCUGAAAAUAGAUGUUUUAACCCUUAAGUCUCCACAUCUGUUCGCCCAGAUCUCCAUCCGACUUUAUUCCUCUAGCCCCAGUGGCGGUUACUUUUCACUCUCAUGAGUAAAAACCAUCCUUAUUGGCUCUUCGUUGGCAUGGUGACAUGUUGGACGAAUCUCGUUGGUUUCUUCGCUGUCCAAUGAGGAAGGACAUGCUCUAAACUCUGCCCCUUUGGGGUCAUUUUCGGUUACAGAUCAACAGAUUCUUACAGGAAUGAAUAUUCUAUUGUCCUAACCUAGACUAGAACAUCAGGGGGUUGGAGACAGAAGGGUUUUUCCGGCUGUAUAGGAGGGGGUUUCCUUUGCAUGUUAAUUGUUGGGUUUUAAUCCUAUCUCUCAUGAAAAGACAGGUGAAAAGUCAGAGUGAGAGUCAAAAGGCUGUCUUGACCUAUUCUUCACAGAGACAAGGUGUGAGAAUUACAACAGCAUGAUGGAGUUUUAAACCUUGAUAGUUAUUGUAUUCAAUCAUAUUUUCCUAACCUGGCUGCAGCAUACAAUUUAAUAGAAUAAAAACAUAGAAAUACAUGGUUAUUAAAUCAGCAUUAUUUAAACUUUAUUCAUCUCAACUCCUUCACACACACAGAAAUCCAAAGUCAGUACCUUAUUGUCAGGGUUGGGCAGGUUACUUUUUAAAUGUAAUCGGGUACAGUUACAAGUUACCUGUCCCCAUUUGUAAUCAGAUGCAAUCGACAAGGUCCUAGGCGUUGCUAGGACCACAAUACAUUAGGGGCUUAGAGGCCUAAGGCCUAAUGAUGCCACUGUUGCGUACCUAGUCUAUUACAAUUGAAGUAAUCCAACAAGUAAUCAUAAAUGUUUUCAAAAGUAUUUGUAAUCCGAUUUCAAUAUUUCUGGUAAUGUAACGGAUUAAUAAUUAUAUAAUUGGUAACGUAACAGAUUAUAGUUACAGUUUUGUUGUAAUACGUUACUCCCCAAUUCUGCUUAUUGUUCAUCAGACUCUCUUUCUU
Long non-coding RNA from Esox lucius (northern pike), 1015 nucleotides. The record is from Ensembl. NCBI's taxonomy places the organism in Eukaryota, Metazoa, Chordata, Actinopteri, Esociformes, Esocidae.